RNAcentral lists this unclassified non-coding RNA (360 nucleotides) under uncultured bacterium. RNAcentral describes it as "contains 16S-23S intergenic spacer region". The record is from RNAcentral.
UCCCCCGUGAGGGGGCAGUCUCGCCUGACUUGUAAAACAGGCAACGCGGGUUGCGUUCGUUACCCCACUGAAGGGAACAACUCAAGCCACGAACUGACGACGACCAUGCAUCACCUGCCCAGCCGUCUUGCGAAAACGUAGUUUCCUACGUGGUCGUCUGGGUUUCAAACCCUGGUGAGGUUUUUCGUUUAUCAUCGAAUUGAGCCGCAUGAUCCACCGCUUGUGCAAGUCCCCGUCUAUUCCUUUGAGUUUUAAUCUUGCGAUCGUACUACCCAGGCGCACAACUUAACGCGUUAGCUUCGCCUCAAAGAGGGUCGAUACUCCUUAAAGCCAGUUGUGAUCGUUUAGGGCGUGGACUAC